CUAACAAGGAUUCCCCUAGUAACGGCGAGUGAAGCGGGAUGAGCUCAAGCUUAAAAUCUCCGUGCAAGUUUUGCACGGCGAAUUGUAGUCUAUAGAGGCGUGGUCAGUGAGGGCGCUCGGGGCAAGUUCCUUGGAAGAGGACAGCAUGGAGGGUGAUACUCCCGUUCAUCCCUGAGUGGCUUUUGCGUACGACCCGUGUUCUUUGAGUCGCGUUGUUUGGGAAUGCAGCGCAAAGUAGGUGGUAAAUUCCAUCUAAAGCUAAAUAUUGGUGCGAGACCGAUAGCGAACAAGUACCGUGAGGGAAAGAUGAAAAGAACUUUGAAAAGAGAGUUAAAGAGUACCUGAAACUGCUGAAAGGGAACCGAAUCGUUUCCAGUGUCUAUAAUCCGUGGCAUAUUUCAUUGGCGAGUGUGUGCGUGCGUGUGCUGUGGCAGUGGCUUUUUUGGCUGCGCUCGGCGUGUGUGCUGUGUGUGCUUGUUGGUGCCCUGUGGUGCGGUGGGACGUCAAGGUCAGUUCGUAUGCUGCGGGAAAUGGCUGCCGAGGAGGUAGGGCUUACGCUCCGCGUUUGUCUGUUAUAUCUUGGUGGACGAGUAGUCGCGGUUGGGACUGAGGUGCCUACAACGUGCUUUUGAGUGUGUAUGGGUCUCCGUGUGCGCCGUGUGCGGAUAGCUUGCUAUGCGUGUGUGGUUGUGUGUGGAUUGAUGCGUACUGUAACUUGUCGCCGUUCGGGACGUUGACGAAAUGGAGCGAUCCGACCCGUCUUGAAACACGGACCAAGGAGUCUAACAUGUGUGCAAGUGUUAGGGUGUGGAAACCCCAGCGCGAAAUGAAAGUAAAGGGCAGCGCAAGCUGUCUGAGGUAGGAAACGUUGCGGGCUUCGGCCUGCGGCGUGGCACUAUCGACCGAUCAUGAGCCUUCGUGGUGAAAGAUUUGAGUUUGAGCACAUAUGUUGGUACCCGAAAGAUGGUGAACUAUGCCUGAGUAGGGUGAAGCCAGGGGAAACUCUGGUGGAAGCUCGUAGCGAUUCUGACGUGCAAAUCGAUCGUCAAACUUGGGUAUAGGGGCGAAAGACUAAUCGAACCAUCUAGUAGCUGGUUCCCUCCGAAAUUUCCCUCAGGAUAGCAGCAACUUAUUUACGAUAGUUUUAUGAGGUAAAGCGAAUGAUUAGAGGAUUCGGGGAAGAAACUUUCUCGACCUAUUCUCAAACUUUAAAUCUGUAAGACCUGCAGGUUUCUUAAUUGAACUUGUGGAUGUGAAUAUCAA
This 1263-nucleotide ribosomal RNA is filed under the name Phytophthora lateralis. Its description in RNAcentral is "eukaryotic LSU rRNA". It matches the Rfam family "Eukaryotic large subunit ribosomal RNA", at positions 65 to 1118 of the family's 3401-position model. Lineage: Eukaryota; Oomycota; Peronosporomycetes; Peronosporales; Peronosporaceae. The record is from RNAcentral.